This 465-nucleotide ribosomal RNA is filed under the name uncultured bacterium. RNAcentral describes it as "partial 16S ribosomal RNA". It matches the Rfam family "Bacterial small subunit ribosomal RNA", at positions 338 to 795 of the family's 1533-position model. The record is from RNAcentral.
CCUACGGGAGGCAGCAGUCGGGAAUCUUGCGCAAUGGGCGAAAGCCUGAUGCAGCGACGCCGCGUGAGGGAUGAAGGUCUUCGGAUCGUAAAACUCUGUCAGCAGGGAAGAACGGUCACUGUGCUAAUCAGCAGUGAAUUGACGGUACCUGCAAAGGAAGCACCGGCUAACUCCGUGCCAGCAGCCGCGGUAAUACGGAGGGUGCGAGCGUUAAUCGGAAUUACUGGGCGUAACGCGCUCGUAGGCGGUAUGUCAAGUCAAGGGUGAAAUCCCCGCGCUCAACGUGGGAACUGCCUUUGAAACUGGCAAACUUGAGUGUGUGAGGGGAUAGUGGAAUUCCAGGUGUAGGAGUGAAAUCCGUAGAUAUCUGGAGGAACAUCAGUGGCGAAGGCGACUAUCUGGCACAUAACUGACGCUGAGGAGCGAAAGCGUGGGUAGCAAACAGGAUUAGAUACCCGGGUAGUC